This 1300-nucleotide ribosomal RNA is filed under the name Streptomyces sp. RNAcentral describes it as "bacterial SSU rRNA". It matches the Rfam family "Bacterial small subunit ribosomal RNA", at positions 33 to 1327 of the family's 1533-position model. Lineage: Bacteria; Bacillati; Actinomycetota; Actinomycetes; Kitasatosporales; Streptomycetaceae. The record is from RNAcentral.
GGGCAGUGGCGCGUGCUUACACAUGCAGUCGAACGAUGGAACCGCUUCGGUGGUGGAUUAGUGGCGAACGGGUGAGUAACACGUGGGCAAUCUGCCCUUCACUCUGGGACAAGCCCUGGAAACGUGUUCUAAUACCGGAUAAUAUCUCCUGCCUGCAUGGGUGGGGGUUGAAAGCUCCGGCGGUGAAGGAUGAGCCCGCGGCCUAUCAGCUUGUUGGUGGGGUAAUGGCCUACCAAGGCGACGACGGGUAGCCGGCCUGAGAGGGCGACCGGCCACAUUGGGACUGAGACACGGCCCCAGACUCCUACGGGAGGCAGCAGUGGGGAAUAUUGCACAAUGGGCGAAAGCCUGAUGCAGCGACGCCGCGUGAGGGAUGACGGCCUUCGGGUUGUAAACCUCUUUCAAGCAGGGAAGAAGCGCAAGUGACGGUACCUGCAGAAGAAGCGCCGGCUAACUACGUGCCAGCAGCCGCGGUAAUACGUAGGGCGCAAGCGUUGUCCGGAAUUAUUGGGCGUAAAGAGCUCGUAGGCGGCUUGUCACGUCGGAUGUGAAAGCCCGGGGCUUAACCCCGGGGUCUGCAUUCGAUACGGGCUAGCUAGAGUGUGGUAGGGGAGAUCGGAAUUCCUGGUGUAGCGGUGAAAUGCGCAGAUAUCAGGAGGAACACCGGUGGCGAAGGCGGAUCUCUGGGCCAUUACUGACGCUGAGGAGCGAAAGCGUGGGGAGCGAACAGGAUUAGAUACCCUGGUAGUCCACGCCGUAAACGUUGGGAACUAGGUGUUGGCGACAUUCCACGUCGUCGGUGCCGCAGCUAACGCAUUAAGUUCCCCGCCUGGGGGAGUACGGCCGCAAGGCUAAAACUCAAAGGAAUUGACGGGGGCCCGCACAAGCAGCGGAGCAUGUGGCUUAAUUCGACGCAACGCGAAGAACCUUACCAAGGCUUGACAUAUACCGGAAAGCAUCAGAGAUGGUGCCCCCCUUGUGGUCGGUAUACAGGUGGUGCAUGGCUGUCGUCAGCUCGUGUCGUGAGAUGUUUGGGUUAAGUCCCGCAACGAGCGCAACCCUUGUUCUGUGUUGCCAGCAUGCCUUUUCGGGGGUGAUGGGGACUCACAGGAGACUGCCGGGGUCAAUUCGGAGGAAAGGUGGGGACGACGUCAAGUCAUCAUGCCCCUUAUGUCUUGGGCUGCACACCUGCUUCAAUGGGCCGGUACAAUGGAGCUCCAAUGCCGUGGAGGCGGAACGAAUCUCAAAAAGCCGGUCUCAGUUCUGGAAUUGGGGGUUCGGACUCGACCCCAUCGAAGUC